CAGCAGCCACGGGAAUACGUAGGGUGCGAGCGUUAAUCGGAAUUACUGGGCGUAAAGCGUGCGCAGGCGGUUGUGUAAGACAGGUGUGAAAUCCCCGGGCUUAACCUGGGAACUGCGCUUGUGACUGCACAGCUAGAGUAUGGCAGAGGGGGGUGGAAUUCCACGUGUAGCAGUGAAAUGCGUAGAUAUCGUGAGGAAGACCAGUGGCGAAGGCGGAUCUCUGGACAGUUCCUGACGCUGAUGCACGAAGGCUAGGGGAGCAAACAGGAUUAGAUACCCCGGUAGUCCCUGUCUCUUAUAA
RNAcentral lists this ribosomal RNA (301 nucleotides) under uncultured bacterium. RNAcentral's name for it is "partial 16S ribosomal RNA". It matches the Rfam family "Bacterial small subunit ribosomal RNA", at positions 509 to 809 of the family's 1533-position model. The record is from RNAcentral.